RNAcentral lists this ribosomal RNA (253 nucleotides) under uncultured bacterium. RNAcentral's name for it is "partial 16S ribosomal RNA". It matches the Rfam family "Bacterial small subunit ribosomal RNA", at positions 524 to 776 of the family's 1533-position model. The record is from RNAcentral.
GACGUAGGGGGCAAGCGUUGUUCGGAAUUAUUGGGCGUAAAGCGCUCGUAGGCGGGCUUGGAAGUCCGUGUUGAAAGACCUCGGCUCAACUGAGGGACCGGCUCGGAUACUCUAAUUCUUGAGGCAAUCAGAGGAUGAUGGAAUUCCCGGUGUAGCGGUGAAAUGCGUAGAUAUCAGGAGGAACACCUGUGGCGAAAGCGGCUCACUGGACCAUAACUGACGCUGAUGCACGAAAGCUAGGGGAGCAAACAGG